Molecule: long non-coding RNA, 546 nt
Organism: Acromyrmex echinatior (Panamanian leafcutter ant)
Lineage: Eukaryota; Metazoa; Arthropoda; Insecta; Hymenoptera; Formicidae
Source: RefSeq, a predicted model, not a curated record
UUCACGCGGCAAAAGUGACGCUGGCGGCGAACAUGGAACGGAUCAGCUCCGAGAGUGGUAGCGCGAUUCGAUCAAAUGAUCGUGGAUACGAACUGAUUCCGAAACAAGUGGCAACGAGAUUCGAUCAAAUGAGAGAUUAGUAUUGCAUCUAUUACAACCCUUUUGCAAAUAUCAUGACGCGAAUACAAUCUGACAAACAUUUUUCACUUAUGAAGAAGAACAAUUGGACUGAAUGAGAAGACAAUUCGAGAAGGGGAGGAGGCCUAGGAGAGGCAUUAGGCGUCAAUGAAACAAUCUUGCCAAUCAUCAUAGCUACCUGGAUGAUAACUCCAUUAUUGCACAUCGUUCGAAUACGACAUAAGGUAGUGGAUAAUUUAAUGGCUCGUCCCAUGACUUUAGGGACUCACCUGAGUGGAAACUUUAUCAAUGGCCGUGGUCUUACACAUCGUAGGAGAUGAGACGGUGCCGAAGAAAGAGGAGUGGCGGGAUCGAAGGAUGUUCAGAAGGGUGAAUUUUCGUGAUGUCGACAAGUAAUCGUCGUUCGUU